GUGGGGAAUCUUGCACAAUGGGGGCAACCCUGAUGCAGCGACGCCGCGUGAGCGAUGAAGCCCUUCGGGGCGUAAAGCUCUUUCGACCGGAACGAUAAUGACGGUACCGGGAGAAGAAGCUGCGGCUAACUACGUGCCAGCAGCCGCGGUAAUACGUAGGCAGCAAGCGUUGUUCGGAGUUACUGGGCGUAAAGAGUGCGUAGGCGGUUUUCUAAGUUCGGUGUGAAAUCUCCCGGCUUAACUGGGAGGGUGCGCCGAAGACUGGGAAGCUGGAGUGUGGGAAAGGCAGGCGGAAUUCCUGGUGUAGCGGUGAAAUGCGUAGAUAUCAGAAGGAACACCGGCGGUGUAGACGGCUUGCUAAACCAUAACUGACGCUGAGGCACGAAAGCGUGGGUAGCAAACA
RNAcentral lists this ribosomal RNA (403 nucleotides) under uncultured bacterium. RNAcentral's name for it is "bacterial SSU rRNA". It matches the Rfam family "Bacterial small subunit ribosomal RNA", at positions 354 to 774 of the family's 1533-position model. The record is from RNAcentral.